UACGAAGGGUGCAAACGUUGCUCGGAAUUAUUGGGCGUAAAGAGCGUGUAGGCGGUUCGGUAAGUCUGUCGUGAAAUCCUGAGGCUCAACCUCGGGCGUGCGAUGGAUACUGCCGGGCUAGAGGGUGGUAGAGGCGAGUGGAAUUCCCGGUGUAGCGGUGAAAUGCGCAGAUAUCGGGAGGAACACCAGUAGCGAAGGCAGCUCGCUGGGCCACACCUGACGCUGAGACGCGAAAGCUAGGGGAGCGAACAGG
This 253-nucleotide ribosomal RNA is filed under the name uncultured bacterium. Its description in RNAcentral is "partial 16S ribosomal RNA". It matches the Rfam family "Bacterial small subunit ribosomal RNA", at positions 524 to 776 of the family's 1533-position model. The record is from RNAcentral.